GCCAGUAGUCAUAUGCUUGUCUCAAAGAUUAAGCCAUGCAUGUGUAAGUAUAAGUAUUGUACAGCGAAACUGCGAAUGGCUCAUUACAUCAGUUAUAGUUUAUUUGAUAUUUGAAAGUUACAUGGAUAACCGUGGCAAUUCUACAGCUAAUACAUGCUUCAAAACCUGACUUCGGAAGGGUUGUAUUUAUUAGAUAUUAAACCAUCCCCUCGGGGCUGUGAUGAAUCAUAAUAACUGAUCGAAUCGAGGUUCGCCUUGAUAAAUCAUUCAAGUUUCUGCCCUAUCAGCUGUAGAUGGUAGUGUAUUGGACUACCAUGGCUAUUACGGGUAACGGAGAAUUAGGGUUCGAUUCCGGAGAGGGGAGCCUGAGAAACGGCUACCACAUCUACGGAUGGCAGCAGGCGCGAAAAUUGCCCAAUCCCGAUUCGGGGAGGCAGUGACAAGAAAUACAACCCAGAACAUUGUUCCGGGAUUGCAAUGAGAACAAUUUAAAACCUAUCGAGUACCAACUGGG
This 514-nucleotide ribosomal RNA is filed under the name uncultured eukaryote. RNAcentral describes it as "SSU rRNA". It matches the Rfam family "Eukaryotic small subunit ribosomal RNA", at positions 16 to 552 of the family's 1831-position model. The record is from RNAcentral.